GCCACCCCUUGGUGCCUACUAAAGGCUCCUCUCAGCUUAGUCUUUAUGGACAGAAUCUUUCAGAAAUGUAUGACUUGCAGAGUCAUAAAGGCCCAAGGGGAGAGACUGCUGGAUAUCCUGCUUUACAUCUUCUAGCCAUCCUCUAAUAUCAUCAUCAUCAUUAUCACCUUCAUCAUCAUCAUCAUCAUCAUCAUCAUCAUCAUCACCAUCAUUAUUAUCGUUAUCAUCAUCAUCAUCAUCAUCAUCAUCAUCAUCACCAUCAUCAUCAUCAUCACCAUCAUCAUCAUCAUCAUCAUCAUCACCAUCAUCACCAUCAUCAUCACCAUCAUCAUCAUCAUCAUCAUCAUCAUCACCAUCAUCAUCACCAUCAUCAUCAUCAUCAUCAUCAUCAUCAUCACCAUCAUUAUUAUCGUUAUCAUCAUCAUCAUCGUAAUAUCUAUAAUUUAUAUAGCACUAUGUGCCAGGCACCGUGCUAAGCAUUUGCAGUUAUUAUCUCAUUUAAUCCUCUCAACAACACUGGGAGGUUGGGCUUAAUCACUGAGUCACUCACUCCAAGAAAAAGAAAAUCAAACUUUCCAUCUCAGAAGCAAAGCUGAGUCCCUAUUCAAUGAGCAUAUGGGACUUUCCUCACAAGGAUUAGUAUCCUGAAAUUGACUGGAAGUCAUCUCCUCACCUUCAGGUGAGAGAGGAGCUGUCCUGGGUGAAAACCCUUCCAUGAUUCCUUCAGUGCAUAAGACCAUUGAUGCAGCAGUUUGAGCAAAAUUUUCUAAGUGUCCCCUUUUUCACAGGAUGCACCAAAAUUUCUCUAGGGGUCCUUGUUCUAUUGCCAAUGCCAUGGAAGUAUCGGUAAAUUUCCUCUAGUUUUUUAUUUCAAAGAGUAACCAAAAUUUUCCCCAAUGGAUCCCUGCCACUGCAAGGACACUCCUAUUUGAAGUCCAAACUCACUCAGGAAUGGGACAAAUAGUCUUAUUUAGAGAAAAAAACAAACAAG
Molecule: long non-coding RNA, 991 nt
Filed under: Phascolarctos cinereus (koala)
Lineage: Eukaryota; Metazoa; Chordata; Mammalia; Diprotodontia; Phascolarctidae
Description: lncRNA (ENSPCIG00000007166.2)
Source: RNAcentral